UCGAUGCAACGCGAAAAACCUUACCUACCCUUGACAUGCCAGGAAUCCUGAAGAGAUUUGGGAGUGCUCGAAAGAGAGCCUGGACACAGGUGCUGCAUGGCCGUCGUCAGCUCGUGUCGUGAGAUGUUGGGUUAAGUCCCGCAACGAGCGCAACCCUUGUCAUUAGUUGCUACGAAAGGGCACUCUAAUGAGACUGCCGGUGACAAACCGGAGGAAGGUGGGGAUGACGUCAGGUCAUCAUGGCCCUUAUGGGUAGGGCUACACACGUCAUACAAUGGCCGGGACAGAGGGCUGCCAACCCGCGAGGGGGAGCUAAUCCCAGAAACCCGGUCGUAGUCCGGAUCGUAGUCUGCAACUCGACUGCGUGAAGUCGGAAUCGCUAGUAAUCGCGGAUCAGCUUGCCGCGGUGAAUACGUUCCCGGGUCUUGUACACACCGCCCGUCACACCAUGGGAGCGGGUUCUGCCAGAAGUAGUUAGCCUAACC
RNAcentral lists this ribosomal RNA (485 nucleotides) under uncultured Roseateles sp. Its description in RNAcentral is "bacterial SSU rRNA". It matches the Rfam family "Bacterial small subunit ribosomal RNA", at positions 951 to 1440 of the family's 1533-position model. The record is from RNAcentral. Lineage: Bacteria; Pseudomonadati; Pseudomonadota; Betaproteobacteria; Burkholderiales; Sphaerotilaceae.